AACGAACGCUGGCGGCAUGCCUAACACAUGCAAGUCGAACGAGACCUUCGGGUCUAGUGGCGCACGGGUGCGUAACGCGUGGGAACCUGCCCUUAGGUUCGGAAUAACUCCCCGAAAGGGGUGCUAAUACCGGAUAAUGUCUUCGGACCAAAGAUUUAUCGCCUUUGGAUGGGCCCGCGUUGGAUUAGCUAGUUGGUAGGGUAAAAGCCUACCAAGGCGACGAUCCAUAGCUGGUCUGAGAGGAUGGUCAGCCACACUGGGACUGGGACACGGCCCAGACUCCUACGGGAGGCAGCAGUGGGGAAUAUUGGACAAUGGGCGAAAGCCUGAUCCAGCAAUGCCGCGUAAGUGAUGAAGGCCUUAGGGUUGUAAAGCUCUUUUACCCGGGAUGAUAAUGACAGUACCGGGAGAAUAAGCUCCGGCUAACUCCGUG
Molecule: ribosomal RNA, 433 nt
Filed under: uncultured bacterium
Lineage: Bacteria
Description: partial 16S ribosomal RNA
Rfam family: Bacterial small subunit ribosomal RNA
Source: RNAcentral